Molecule: long non-coding RNA, 249 nt
Filed under: Oryza brachyantha (malo sina)
Lineage: Eukaryota; Viridiplantae; Streptophyta; Magnoliopsida; Poales; Poaceae
Description: long non-coding RNA (OBRA_LNC002915)
Source: RNAcentral
CUAUCAAAACAAGUCCAGUCACAUGGCACAACUGAUUGCUCUCCCCAUCCAUCGGCCUUUCAGUUCCCGAUAUGCUUAUCAGUUAUACUUAUCAAUUGGGCAUGUCGACACUAGCAACCUAGUGGAGGUAGCUGGCGGCGACGAUCAAGGUUGAUCCUACAUCAAAGUUUCUAAGUAGACUAGCGAUGUAAUGAGUUGUUGCUGCACAAGAUAAAAGCAAAGUUGAAGCAAGAACUAAGACUAAUAUUU